CGCUUGUCGAAGUUCGUGUCAGUGCAGACUUCGUGUUCGUGCCUUGCCUUCCUUGCCGAUUAUGGAGCAGAGACGCAAAUCAUCUGCCGUGUGGGACCAUUUUGAUGUCCUGGAGAAUAAGGUGAAAUGUCGAAUUUGCCAAGUCAAUUCGCCAACAGAAGCACCUCCACCAUGCUGAGGCAUUAUCGGGCCAAGCAUGGGAAUGAAGUUCGCGAUACACCCGGUAUUACGCCAGGUUCCAGGAAGCAGCUGUACUGGAAGGACCAACACACUUCUUUCCCAAACCUCUCCCACCUCGCAAAGGAGUUCCUUUGUACGCCAGCCUCAUCCGUCCCUUGUGAGCGUGUGUUCUCCACAGCAGGAGAAAUUGCUUGUAAAAGACGCAACGGGCUGAAGUUUAAAACA
Molecule: long non-coding RNA, 405 nt
Organism: Hippocampus zosterae (dwarf seahorse)
Lineage: Eukaryota; Metazoa; Chordata; Actinopteri; Syngnathiformes; Syngnathidae
Exons: 3
Source: RefSeq, a predicted model, not a curated record